GGCCUACCAUGGUGGUAACGGGUAACGGGGUGUUAGGGCACGACACCGGAGAGGGAGCCUGAGAAACGGCUACCACAUCCAAGGAUGGCAGCAGGCGCGCAAAUUACCCAAUCCCGACACGGGGAGGUAGUGACAAUAAAUAACAAUACGGGGUUCUUUCGGAUUUCGUAAUUGGAAUGAGUACAAUUUAAAUCUCUUAACGAGGAACAAUUGGAGGGCAAGUCUGGUGCCAGCAGCCGCGGUAAUUCCAGCUCCAAUAGCGUAUAUUAAAGUUGCUGCAGUUAAAAAGCUCGUAGUUGAAUUUCGGGACCAAUAUGUCGGUCGUGCCUCGGUACGUACUGGCAUCGUUGGUUUCUCCCUUCUGACGAACCAUGAUGUCAUUUAUUUGGUGUCGUGGGGAAUCAGGACUGUUACUUUGAAAAAAUUAGAGUGUUUAAAGCAGGCUCACGCUUGAAUACAUUAGCAUGGAAUAAUGAAAUAGGACGUUUGAUUCUAUUUUGUUGGUUUCUAGGAUCGACGUAAUGAUUAAUAGGGAUAGUUGGGGGCAUUAGUAUUCAAUUGUCAGAGGUGAAAUUCUUGGAUUUAUUGAAGACUAACUACUGCGAAAGCAUUUGCCAAGGAUGUUUUCAUUAAUCAAGAACGAAAGUUAGGGGAUCGAAGACGAUCAGAUACCGUCGUAGUCUUAACCAUAAACUAUGCCGACUAGGGAUCGGAUGAUGUUAAUUUUUUAAUGACUCAUUCGGCGCCUUACG
RNAcentral lists this ribosomal RNA (752 nucleotides) under uncultured Glomus. RNAcentral describes it as "SSU rRNA". It matches the Rfam family "Eukaryotic small subunit ribosomal RNA", at positions 338 to 1092 of the family's 1831-position model. The record is from RNAcentral. Lineage: Eukaryota; Fungi; Glomeromycota; Glomeromycetes; Glomerales; Glomeraceae.